GAUUGAGUGUAAGCUGCUAUAUGAAGGGAUCCACAAGACGAAUAAUUAAGGGGGACCUCUGAUCAACAGCCAGCAAGGAACUGAAUCCCUCAGACCCACAACUCACAAGAAACUGAAGCUGAAGCAGAUUCUUCCUCAGUCAAGCUUCAGCCAAACUGACAGGGGUUUGUGAAUCAGAAUGAUGGCUUUGCAUUUUAGCUUAGGGAAGGACCUGCUUUGCAGAAAGGAUCUCAUUGAGAAUAGCAAAAGGAAGUUGGGAACCAUUACAGUGCCCAGCUGUAUUGGUAGAGGAGACCAACCACACCCUCCACAGCACAGCACCUGGAGAGGAACUGCUGCCAUGACCAUAGAGGACACCCUCUGGAUACAAUGCCAGACUUGAUGUGGGACUGACCAACCUAUGGACCCCAGGCACCACCACCCAGACCUGCUCAGCACCUGAAACAUUCACAGCCGUGGAGAGAGAACUGUUCACUGCUACCAUCCACACUUCUGGGCCCCUUCAGCAGCAGGGUGACAAGGAAGAGGGAAAUCGACUUGGAAAAGAGGGGACCUCUGACCCAAGAGUUCGGUCAAUGCAUAUGUUGGCAGCCAGCUGCACAUCGCACCAAAUAUGAACUUCAAAUAGAAGAAAGCCUCAUUUGGAAGAAAGCUCAUGCACAGACUGUAAAUAUUUCAGAGCAGAUUGUGUCUCUGUAGAUUAAGUAAGUUGUGAAAGUCUGAACCUCUGCCAAAAUUUUAAGACCUUGACCUUUACAUCUCUGAGUUUCUAUCUGUCAUUUUUCCUUUCUAUCUGUCAUUUUACCUUUCAUACUUAUAAAAUGGAAUUCAUAA
Molecule: long non-coding RNA, 834 nt
Filed under: Homo sapiens (human)
Lineage: Eukaryota; Metazoa; Chordata; Mammalia; Primates; Hominidae
Description: MIR3976 host gene
Source: RNAcentral